GACGAACGCUGGCGGCGUGCUUAACACAUGCAAGUCGAACGCUAAAGCUUGGUGCUUUCACUGGGUGGAGGAGUGGCGAACGGGUGAGUAAUACGUGAGUAACCUGCCCUUGACUCUGGGAUAAUCCUGGGAAACUGGGUCUAAUACUGGAUAUGACAUGCCACUGCAUGGUGCUGUGUGUAAAGGGUUUUACUGGUUUUGGAUGGGCUGACGGCCUAUCGGCUUGUUGGUGGGGUAAUGGCCUACCAAGGCGACGACGGGUAGCCGGCCUGGGAGGGUGGCCGGCGACCAUGGGACUGAGACACGGCGCAGCCUGCAAUGGGAGGCAGAAGUGGGGAAUAUUAUACAGUGAGCGGAAGCGUGAUGCGGCGACGCCGGGUGGGGGAUGACGGCUUGCGGGUAGUAAACCUCUUUCAGCACGGACGAAGCGAGAGUGACGGUACGUGAAGAAGAAGCGCCGGCUAACUACGUG
This 472-nucleotide ribosomal RNA is filed under the name uncultured bacterium. Its description in RNAcentral is "partial 16S ribosomal RNA". It matches the Rfam family "Bacterial small subunit ribosomal RNA", at positions 28 to 507 of the family's 1533-position model. The record is from RNAcentral.